AAUAGAUACCCCGGUAGUCCUGGCCGUAAACGAUGACCACUAGAUGCGGGAGGUAUCGACCCCUUCCGUGUCGCAGCUCACGCGCUAAGUGGUCCGCCUGGGGAGUACGGUCGCAAGACUAAAACUCAAAGGAAUUGACGGGGACCCGCACAAGCAGCGGAGCGUGUGGUUUAAUUCGAUGCAACGCGAAGAACCUUACCUACCCUUGACAUGCCAGGGAGCCGGAUGAGAGUUCGGUGUGUCCGAAAGGGAGCCUGGACACAGGUGCUGCAUGGCUGUCGUCAGCUCGUGUCGUGAGAUGUUGGGUUAAGUCCCGCAACGAGCGCAACCCUUGUCACUAGUUGCUACGGAUAGGGCACUCUAAUGAGACUGCCGGUGACAAACCGGAGGAAGGUGGGGAUGACGUCAAGUCCUCAUGGCCCUUAUGGGUAGGGCUUCACACGUCAUACAAUGGUACAUACAGAGGGCCGCAACCCGCGAGGGGGAGCUAAUCCCAGAAAGUGUAUCGUAGUCCGGAUUGGAGUCUGC
RNAcentral lists this ribosomal RNA (528 nucleotides) under uncultured bacterium. RNAcentral describes it as "bacterial SSU rRNA". It matches the Rfam family "Bacterial small subunit ribosomal RNA", at positions 777 to 1308 of the family's 1533-position model. The record is from RNAcentral.